This 254-nucleotide ribosomal RNA is filed under the name uncultured bacterium. RNAcentral's name for it is "partial 16S ribosomal RNA". It matches the Rfam family "Bacterial small subunit ribosomal RNA", at positions 524 to 776 of the family's 1533-position model. The record is from RNAcentral.
UACGUAGGGUGCAAGCGUUUAUCCGGAAUUAUUGGGCGUAAAGAGCUCGUAGGCGGUUUGUCGCGUCUGCUGUGAAAACCGGAGGCUCAACCUCCGGCCUGCAGUGGGUACGGGCAAACUAGAGUGCGGUAGGGGAGAUUGGAAUUCCUGGUGUAGCGGUGGAAUGCGCAGAUAUCAGGAGGAACACCGAUGGCGAAGGCAGAUCUCUGGGCCGUAACUGACGCUGAGGAGCGAAAGCGUGGGGAGCGAACAGG